AGUACAAAUUUUUUUCGUUUUACUGUUUAGAUCUUCAUGUUUCGCGAUAGAUUGAAGUGGAGUUGCGUGAUGAUGUAUGAUGGUUGUAAUGUGUUGGGUAGAAAUUACUCAGUGCUGAUACAGUGUCGAUAUGUUGUAAUGAGCGAUGAUAGUGGAUGAUGGUGGAACAGAAUAUUCAUUGAGGUACUUUGAGGAAGCGAACAUAUGAUGGAAAAAUGUUGCAAAAAUAUUAAAUGACAAUUUAUUGAAUCACUUUUGUUGAUAUGUAUGAUAUUGAUUAAAUUGUAUUUGCAUGCUGUAACAUUUCUAUUUCAUUUCAGGGGGCUGUGGUGAGUAUUGUAGUAUAAAUUUGUUUCAAUAAAUCAUGAUGAAUGAAAACUGAUUUCGAUUCGUUUUGUACAGGUUUACUUGUAUAGAAGUGUAAUGCGUUGGGUAGAAAUUACUCAGUACUGAUAUAGUGUCGAUAUGUUGUGAUUAGCGAUGAUGGUGUAUGAUGGUGGAACAGAAUAUGAGCUUCUUUGGGGAAACGAACAUAUGAUUGAAAAAAAUUUGCAAACAUAGUAGAUAAAUGAUAUGAUAUUGCUUAAAUUGUAUUUGCAUGCUGUAACAUUUCUAUUUCAUUUCAGGGUGCUGUGGUGAGUACUGUAGAUUGUAGUGCAUAUGUAUAGAAUUCAAUAAAAGAUUAUGACUGAAAACUGCUUUUGAUUCUUAUUGUACAGUUUUAGGGAUUAUAAGUCUAUAGCAACUCUGUCGGUUGGUGUUCAUGAGUGUGAGCUUAAUACAGCAAUGUUUGAGUAGUACAAAAAUGUUUUCGCUUUUGUGGUCGCCAGCUGUCCGUGAUCUGUAAAGUGAAAAUACACAGAGCUAUGAAGCAUACAAAUGUUUCGAAAUUUUAUCAAUGAUUGUAUACUAUGCAUGUUUUGAUUUAGUUCGUUUCAGAUUUGACAUGAGAUGAAAACCUGACAUGAUUUGAACAGAGCUGGGAAACGAAAAGAUUUUCAGAUGUGUGCUGGCAGUUCAAGUCUGGCAGCUGGAGUGAACAGUCGUGUUUUCUGGAGCUCCAACAAUAUGCUAGAAGGUAAGUAACUAUGUUUGUUUUGCAUUGCAUGUUUUUAUAUGUUUCAGACUUUCAAGCAGAGAUGUCAUGCUGACUGGAGUUGAGCACAGGGCAGUGACAAAGUGAAAGGUAAGUACUUUUGACUGAAUGUUUGUUCUAUGCAUGUUUUGUUUUAAUACAUUUCAGGAGUGCUUAUCCAGUGAUGAUAUGACAGUUGGAGUGAACAGUGGAGCCAAGCAGUCUUGUUUUUGGAGCUACUCAACAAGCCUUGAAGAUGCUGAUGGCAGUGAUGGGUUUUCAAGCUGACCUGAACAGAAAAGCACUCAUAUGGUAAGUACAAAAUAGUUGUUAUAUGGGAUGUUUUGUGCAUGCUUUUAUGUUUCAGGUGUACUUGCUGACAGCGACGAAGACGAAUCAAGAAGAGGAACAUUGUUGAGAAAGUGAUUGGGACUUGCAAACAGGGUAAGUGUAACACUUGUGUUUGUUUAAUUUGUAACAUGCGUGCUUUGCUCUGUUUCAGAUUUCACAUGCAGAAAUUAAACAGGAUUUCAACUGCUGAGACACAAUUCAUCAAAAGUAAGGUAAGUUUUAAUUCAUUGAUUUGAGUUGUACAAUGUGUUCUUUACUUUAUUUCAGAUUCGAGUCACUGGUUUACACAUGGAAGAAGAUUUCCACGUCUGUUACUCAACUCUACAGAAGCAAGGUAAGUCGAUCAAAUUUUUGUUUUCAUUGACUGCUGUAAUGUGAUGUUAUGCUAUUUUUCAUGUGUGCUAUGCAGAGAUGGAGAAUUCAAUUUUAAGAAAGAUUAACUGCUGCAGCUUAGCUCUGCUCUGUGUUGAUUUUUGUUCAAAAACGUUUAAAAUGUAUGUGUGUUUUCAGAUGUUUUGUUUCAGUUGAUGUCCAGAUGGCAAGCAGUACAGACGUGUUUCUUGGAGCUGCCAAACAGGAGCUGUGGUGAGUAUUGUAGUAUACAUUUGUUUCAAUAAUGUUUGAGUAGUACAAAAAUGUCUUUACUUUUGUGAUCGCCAGUUGUCUGUGAUAUGUAACGUAAACAAAAAACACAGCUAUGAAGCAUACAAUUGUUUCGAAAUUUUAUCAAUGAUUGUAUACUAUGCAUGUUUUGAUUUAGUUCGUUUCAGAUAUGACAUGACAUGAAGAGUUGACAGUCGAACAGAGCUGAGCAAUGCAGAAAGGUAAGUGUGUUUCAUUUUAGUAUGAACACUUGUAUUUUGUUUUUAUAUGGUAUGUUUUGUGCAUGCUAUGUUUCAGGUGUACUUGUAGUCAGCGACGAAGACGAUUCAAGAAGAGGAACAUUGCUGAGAAAGUGAAUGGGACUUGCAAACAGGGUAAGUGUUACAAUUGUUCUUUUGAUUUUUGCCAUGCAUACUUUGCUUUGCUCUGUUUCAGAUUUCACAUGCAGAAAUGGUCUCAUAGCAGUGCCAACAGUGAAUAAGGAUUUCAGCUGCUGUGAAACAACUCAACAGAAAGUAGGUAAGCAUUGAAUGAAUGCACUUGAGUUGUACAAUUUGAUGUGAUGCUUUUCUCUGUUUCAGAUUCAAGUUCCUGGUGUAGACAGAGAAAUGUGUUUGAAGAAGGAAUUCUACUACUGUGAUUCAACUCUACAGAAGCAAGGUAAGUAGAAACACAAUUUUGGUUUAAUUUAACUCAUGUGUUUUGCACUGCAUGCUAUUUUUCAGGUCUCUCAUGCAGUGAUGCAAAAGAAGAAGAUUUCAAGAAAGAAUCACUGCUGCAACUCAGGCCUAUAACAAGGUAAGUGUUUACUAUAUUGUAUACAAAAUGUUUCUCUGUUUUACUCUGUUUGAAGGUUUCAAUUGCAGAGAUGUUGCAGAGAUGUUUUGACAGCUUGUGACAGAAAAGAAAUUCAGCAGCUGUGUCUCGACUCUAGCCACGAGGUAAGUCAAAACAAAUAUACUGGUUUGUAUGUUAUGUUGUUAUGCCCUUCUAUGUUUCAGACUUACAUUGCUGUGACUGUUCCACAGUGGGUCAAAAAAGAGACGAAUACAGGUUUCAAGAAGAAAAUUGGCUGUUGAAAACCUGCACAAAAUAUGAGGUAAGUAAACUAUUCUUUUGGUUUGUUUUGUGCUUUGUUAUGCUUAACUAUUUUUCAGAUUGGAAUGGUGGGUCGUUACAGAGCAGACUUUUGGACAACUGAGAAGUUGAGAAACAGAGAAUGAUUCAAGAUCAGCUAGUAUCCUGUGGUAAGUACACUAACUUUCUUUAAUUUUCAUAUUGAACUGUUUUGAUGACUUGUAUACUACUAUGCAAUGCCUAAUGUUUUUUUCAUUUCAGUAGCCUGUUGGUAAGUACACUAACUUUCUAUAAUUUCAUAGUGAAUUGUUUUGAUGACCUGUAUUCUGCAUUGUAAAAUGUGUUUCUUUUUCAUUUCAGUAUGGCUGUGGUAAGUACAAUUGCCUUUCAUAUUGAACUGUUUUGAUGACCUGUAUUUUGCAUUGUAAAAUGUGUUUCUUUUUCAUUUCAGUAUGGCUGUGGUAAGUACACAAACUUUCUUUAAUUUUCAUAUUGAACUGUUUUGAUGACUUGUAUUCUGCUAUACAAAAUGUGCUUUUUUCAAUUUCAGGUCAGCAAUGGUAAGUAUAGUGUGUUUUUUUAUGUAUAAUUUUGUAUACAUAUUGUUUUUUUCAUCAUAGCAUGUCUUUUAUAUUUAUGCUUUGUGUAAGUAAAAUGUUCAUAAAUCAUUCUUAUCUUCAAACUAAAAAUGUAUUGUGCUAUGCAAAAUGUCUGUAUGAUUUCAGUUGCCAGAGGUGAGUACCAUUACAGUUGAAAAGUUAGUUUUGUUUAGUUAAAGUUUUGGUUCACAGUUCUGUUUGUUAUUUGGCAAAAUUUACAUGUAUGCAUUGAGUCUUGAUUUCAGCUCGAUUGUGGACUGAAGAAGAUUGCCCGCAGAGGGAUUGGAUACAAAAUACAAACUUUACUGCUAGACGAGUGUUCUCUACUACUUGACGAGUCAGCUUUACUACCAGGCGAGCAGUGACAACAAGGCGCCUUUGUGGAAACAACACAACAAAAAACUGUACUGCUAGACGAGCAGUGACAGAAAGGCGCCUGAACAUGCAACACAAAACAAAAAAUGCCAAUAUACAAACCUUGAUGUGGACACCGAGUAGUCAAUACAUACGUGUGGCGUACAGCUGCGACAAAACCGUGGGUCCAUCGCACCGAUAACUCGAACAUUGGCCCGCGUAUGGACAUCAGUGCAACUUUGUGAAUCCAUGUAACUUUGUGAAUCCAUGUAACAUUGCGAAUAUGUGUCGAUCGAAAAAUGUGUACAUUCUGCACUGAAACGAACUCGGUGUUGCAAGUGGCAAGUGUUGACAGUGUGUAUGUUUAUGUUUAUGUUUUUACAUGAAAAAUAAAGGAGAUUGUUCUCCUACCUUUUUUUUCCUUGUUUUAUUGUGCUGGCCAGCAAUAUUGAUGUAUUGAUGUAUGUGUUUGUGUUUAAACUAUGCAAUACCAAAAUCAAACAAAAAAUAAACAUUAACAGUCAUUAACUGUGUUUGGGCGGCCGAGGGGUUUAAGACUCCACAAGUGUGAAGCGCACUGAUAGCACUUGGGGGUAAACACCUCGGUAUUUCGGUGCUAAAAUGUUUUCACGGUGCUUAUUUUGACGCACUGUUAGAACUACCAACCAGUAAAUGAUUGCUUGAUUUAUAAAACAAAUUUUCAGUCUCUACUUUGGCACAAGAGACUCUAAGUAUCAAAUACCAACAAUUUAGACGCAGACAAUCACAUGGUGGUACACCAGUCCGAAUAUACUCAUUGCUCUAGCCAGGAUUGCAAAUUACUUGUGUUGACUAGCAAGGCUCCCUAGUAACGGAGCAGUGUUACUGGCGUUUUUUGGGUCGAUAGUGCUUAGGUGAGGUUUUGCUCGAAUCGGGAGCGGGUCACUCGCUUGGGCGAGUUAGUUUUCGCUCGUAGUUUCCAAUCUGGCUAGAUCACUGUAAGGUUGUUUUGACUGCUAUUUGGCAAGCAGAAAGACAACAGCGGUUAAUUGACUGAGUAUGGGCGACCGAGGUAUGUAGGUGUCAAUAGACCGACUCCACAAGUUGCGAAGCGAACCGAUAGCACUUGAGGGGAAACGCCUCGGUUUUCGGUUCUAACAUGUGUUAUCCAUGCUGUCGUUAUACUCU
Dreissena polymorpha is the source of this 5226-nucleotide long non-coding RNA. RefSeq lists it as uncharacterized. The transcript has 8 exons. The record is from RefSeq and is a predicted model, not a curated record. NCBI's taxonomy places the organism in Eukaryota, Metazoa, Mollusca, Bivalvia, Myida, Dreissenidae.